ACGCUGGCGGCGUGCUUAACACAUGCAAGUCGAACGGUGAACACGGAGCUUGCUCUGUGGGAUCAGUGGCGAACGGGUGAGUAACACGUGAGCAACCUGCCCCUGACUCUGGGAUAAGCGCUGGAAACGGCGUCUAAUACUGGAUACGAGUAGCGACCGCAUGGUCAGUUACUGGAAAGAUUUAUUGGUUGGGGAUGGGCUCGCGGCCUAUCAGCUUGUUGGUGAGGUAAUGGCUCACCAAGGCGUCGACGGGUAGCCGGCCUGAGAGGGUGACCGGCCACACUGGGACUGAGACACGGCCCAGACUCCUACGGGAGGCAGCAGUGGGGAAUAUUGCACAAUGGGCGCAAGCCUGAUGCAGCAACGCCGCGUGAGGGAUGACGGCCUUCGGGUUGUAAACCUCUUUUAGCAGGGAAGAAGCGAAAGUGACGGUACCUGCAGAAAAAGCGCCGGCUAACUACGUGCCAGCAGCCGCGGUAAUACGUAGGGCGCAAGCGUUAUCCGGAAUUAUUGGGCGUAAAGAGCUCGUAGGCGGUUUGUCGCGUCUGCUGUGAAAUCCGGAGGCUCAACCUCCGGCCUGCAGUGGGUACGGGCAGACUA
Molecule: ribosomal RNA, 600 nt
Filed under: Microbacterium sp. YIM C433
Lineage: Bacteria; Bacillati; Actinomycetota; Actinomycetes; Micrococcales; Microbacteriaceae
Description: bacterial SSU rRNA
Rfam family: Bacterial small subunit ribosomal RNA
Source: RNAcentral